UAAAUUGUAGCCAAAUGUUAAGGCGCUUAGCUGUUAACUAAGAGAAAGUGGGAUAGAUACCCUCCAAUUUAG
RNAcentral lists this transfer RNA (72 nucleotides) under Perameles bougainville (western barred bandicoot). Its description in RNAcentral is "tRNA-Asn". It matches the Rfam family "tRNA". From Rfam's summary of the family: Transfer RNA (tRNA) molecules are approximately 80 nucleotides in length. Their secondary structure includes four short double-helical elements and three loops (D, anti-codon, and T loops). Further hydrogen bonds mediate the characteristic L-shaped molecular structure. tRNAs have two regions of fundamental functional importance: the anti-codon, which is responsible for specific mRNA codon recognition, and the 3' end, to which the tRNAs corresponding amino acid is attached (by aminoacyl-tRNA synthetases). tRNAs cope with the degeneracy of the genetic code in two manners: having more than one tRNA (with a specific anti-codon) for a particular amino acid; and 'wobble' base-pairing, i.e. permitting non-standard base-pairing at the 3rd anti-codon position. Lineage: Eukaryota; Metazoa; Chordata; Mammalia; Peramelemorphia; Peramelidae. The record is from RNAcentral.